This 86-nucleotide transfer RNA is filed under the name Devosia sp. RNAcentral describes it as "tRNA-Leu". It matches the Rfam family "tRNA". From Rfam's summary of the family: Transfer RNA (tRNA) molecules are approximately 80 nucleotides in length. The record is from RNAcentral. Lineage: Bacteria; Pseudomonadati; Pseudomonadota; Alphaproteobacteria; Hyphomicrobiales; Devosiaceae.
GCGGGCGUGAUGGAAUGGUAGACAUACGGGACCUAAAAUCCGGAGGGCUUACACCCGUGCGGGUUCGAGUCCCGCCGCCCGCACCA